This 117-nucleotide ribosomal RNA is filed under the name Telimena protii. RNAcentral's name for it is "partial 28S ribosomal RNA". The record is from RNAcentral. Lineage: Eukaryota; Fungi; Ascomycota; Sordariomycetes; Phyllachorales; Telimenaceae.
ACUUAACCUCGGAUCAGGAGGAUACCGCUGAACUUAAGCUUUAAGGGCGGGGAGCUUUUUUUCGUGGGAGUCCAAGACAGGGGGGAACCACAUGAAUUAUGAAAUCAUAGCGAGGAU